This 586-nucleotide small RNA is filed under the name Pan troglodytes (chimpanzee). RNAcentral's name for it is "retained intron". The record is from RNAcentral. Lineage: Eukaryota; Metazoa; Chordata; Mammalia; Primates; Hominidae.
AUAAUAGCAGGCAUGUGGGAAUGUUAGAGAAAGACCGUGCCCCGAGGAAGCCCAGAGACUGCUGGGAGCAGACAUGGAAGUUACCGUGAAACUUAUGUAAACAGUAAAAAAGAUAAAUUAAGCUGAGGCAGUUUAGGGGUUUCCGAGAUGUUUCUUCUGCCCCAGUGCCUUCACGUUCCCUCUCCUGUCUACGGUUCAUUGGGCUUGAGAGGAUGAAAGUUCACCUUGGCCUGGAAGUGGUGAGCCUGUAAUGGCAGGGAGUGGAUCGGGGUCAGGAAUGGGCCUUCCACAGGGGCCACUGUACUUCACACCACCUUUCUCAACUGUCCCAUUGGUUCCUCAGCCCCUGCACGUGGUGUGUCCUGAGCAGUACACUCAGCCGCCCCCAGCCCAGUCCCACAGGAUGGACCUCAUGAUCGACUGCCAGCCCCCCGCCAUGUCCUAUCGGCGGGCUGAGGUUCUCGCCCUGCCCUUCAAACGUCGGUACGAGAAGAUCGAGAUCAUGCCAGAGCUCGCAGAUUCACUGGUGCCCAUGGAGAUCAAGCCUGGCAUCUCCUUGGCAACUGUCUCGGCCGUGCUGCACACC